CGCGGCCUAUCAGCUUGUUGGUGGGGUAACGGCCUACCAAGGCGACGACGCGUAGCGGGUCUGAGAGGACGACCCGCCACAUUGGGACUGAGAUACGGCCCAGACUCCUACGGGAGGCAGCAGUGGGGAAUAUUGCGCAAUGGUCGAAAGACUGACGCAGCGACGCCGCGUGUGGGAGGAAGCCUUUCGGGGUGUAAACCACUGUCAGAGGGGAAGAACACUGUUUGUUCGAACAGGGCAGACAGCUGACGGUACCCUCAAAGGAAGCGCCGGCUAACUCCGUGCCAGCAGCUGCGGUAAGACGGAGGGCGCAAGCGUUGUUCGGAAUUACUGGGCGUAAAGCGCGGGCAGGUGGUCUAUUAAGUCUUCUGUGAAACUCCGGGGCUCAACUCCGGACAUGCAGAGGAUACUGGCAGACUGGAGACCGGUAGAGGCUAGCGGAAUUCCUGGUGUAGCGGUGGAAUGCGUAGAUAUCAGGAAGAACACCGGUGGCGAAGGCGGCUAGCUGGGCCGGGUCUGACACUCAUCCGCGAAAGCGUGGGGAGCAAACAGGAUUAGAUACCCUGGUAGUCCACGCCGUAAACGAUGGGCACUAGGUGCCGGGUCUAGAGACGGAUUCGGUGCCGCAGCUAACGCAUUAAGUGCCCCGCCUGGGGAGUACGG
Molecule: ribosomal RNA, 663 nt
Filed under: uncultured Actinomycetes bacterium
Lineage: Bacteria; Bacillati; Actinomycetota; Actinomycetes
Description: bacterial SSU rRNA
Rfam family: Bacterial small subunit ribosomal RNA
Source: RNAcentral